UACGUAGGGUGCAAGCGUUAAUCGGAAUUACUGGGCGUAAAGCGUGCGCAGGCGGUUAUGCAAGACAGGUGUGAAAUCCCCGAGCUCAACUUGGGAACUGCAUUUGUGACUGCAUAGCUAGAGUACGGCAGAGGGGGAUGGAAUUCCGCGUGUAGCAGUGAAAUGCGUAGAUAUGCGGAGGAACACCAAUGGCGAAGGCAAUCCCCUGGGCCUGUACUGACGCUCAUGCACGAAAGCGUGGGGAGCAAACAGG
This 253-nucleotide ribosomal RNA is filed under the name uncultured bacterium. RNAcentral's name for it is "partial 16S ribosomal RNA". It matches the Rfam family "Bacterial small subunit ribosomal RNA", at positions 524 to 776 of the family's 1533-position model. The record is from RNAcentral.